AGGUGUUGGAGACUGAUUUCUUAGAAGCUUCCAUGGACUUCUGGGGACUGAAUUGUUGGCUUUCCCAUGCUCUUUGUGUCUUAGUGAACAUCUCCCUCAAAAGCUGCUAUAUUGUAUAGUUUCAUGUACAUGAAGUCUCUGUCAGUCUCUACCCAGUUUUCCAAUGCUGGAGACUGAACCAGAGCCUUGGGCAUGCUAGGAAAUUCCAAACUCUGCAGACUGAAGUACCUACAAUCUUGUCCUCAGAAGCCUUGACAUGAAACAGCAAACUCAAGAAGCAGUUACGCAGCAAGCGGCUUUUUACCAGAAUGUAAGAAAGAUAUCAUGUACGAGAUAGAAAGGGAACCCUUUGUUAAUAUAGAAAAAUGAGAAAAAAACAACUGCUGAUUUAUCAGAUAGAUACGUGUUUCUAUCUGUGGUCAUUAAACACGACAACUGAUUCAAUUAAAUAAAGCAUACAUGCUAGAUUGCCUUUAUCCAUGGGCAUGAAAUUUUGGAAAUUUUGUGAAAACUUUGUUUUUUUAAUGAAAUGCUAAUUAAACAUAGAGUAUAAUAGUAAAA
This is a long non-coding RNA of Mastomys coucha (southern multimammate mouse), 561 nucleotides long. RefSeq lists it as uncharacterized. The record is from RefSeq and is a predicted model, not a curated record. The transcript is spliced from 3 exons. Lineage: Eukaryota; Metazoa; Chordata; Mammalia; Rodentia; Muridae.